CCUACGGGAGGCAGCAGUGGGGAAUAUUGCGCAAUGGGCGAAAGCCUGACGCAGCGACGCCGCGUGAGGGAUGAAGGUCUUCGGAUCUUAAACGUGCUGUCAGAAGGGAAAAAUCUACAGUGCCCCCCAAUCACAGCAUGUAUUGAGCACCCUGACUACAG
This 161-nucleotide ribosomal RNA is filed under the name uncultured Desulfovibrio sp. Its description in RNAcentral is "partial 16S ribosomal RNA". It matches the Rfam family "Bacterial small subunit ribosomal RNA", at positions 338 to 487 of the family's 1533-position model. Lineage: Bacteria; Pseudomonadati; Thermodesulfobacteriota; Desulfovibrionia; Desulfovibrionales; Desulfovibrionaceae. The record is from RNAcentral.